GUAGGUGGCAAGCGUUGUCCGGAAUUAUUGGGCGUAAAGCGCGCGCAGGUGGUUCUUUAAGUCUGAUGUGAAAGCCCCCGGCUCAACCGGGGAGGGUCAUUGGAAACUGGGGAACUUGAGUGCAGGAGAGGAAAGUGGAAUUCCACGUGUAGCGGUGAAAUGCGUAGAUAUGUGGAGGAACACCAGUGGCGAAGGCGACUUUCUGGCCUGUAACUGACACUGAGGCGCGAAAGCGUGGGGAGCAAACAGGGAUUAGAUACCCUGGUAGUCCACGCCGUAAACGAUGAGUGCUAAGUGUUGGGGGGGGUUUUACCCGCCCCCGUCAGUGCUGCAGCUAACGCAUUAAGCACUCCGCCUGGGGAGUACGGCCGCAAGACUG
This 379-nucleotide ribosomal RNA is filed under the name uncultured organism. RNAcentral describes it as "partial 16S ribosomal RNA". It matches the Rfam family "Bacterial small subunit ribosomal RNA", at positions 527 to 896 of the family's 1533-position model. The record is from RNAcentral.